CGUAGGUGGCAAGCGUUGUCCGGAAUUAUUGGGCGUAAAGCGCGCGCAGGCGGUUCCUUAAGUCUGAUGUGAAAGCCCCCGGCUCAACCGGGGAAGGUCAUUGGAAACUGGGGAACUUGAGUGCAGAAGAGAAGAGCGGAAUUCCACGUGUAGCGGUGAAAUGCGUAGAGAUGUGGAGGAACACCAGUGGCGAAGGCGGCUCUUUGGUCUGUAACUGACGCUGAGGCGCGAAAGCGUGGGGAGCAAACAGGAUUAGAUACCCUGGUAGUCCACGCCGUAAACGAUGAGUGCUAAGUGUUAGAGGGUUUCCGCCCUUUAGUGCUGCAGCUAACGCAUUAAGCACUCCGCCUGGGGAGUACGGCCGCAAGGCUGA
This 373-nucleotide ribosomal RNA is filed under the name uncultured organism. RNAcentral's name for it is "bacterial SSU rRNA". It matches the Rfam family "Bacterial small subunit ribosomal RNA", at positions 526 to 897 of the family's 1533-position model. The record is from RNAcentral.